GCGUUGUCCCCACGGGCAGUGGCUCGACACGCCCAGCUCCCCCAGGUGGUCCCGGUCGGCAUUGUGGUUUGGAACCUAAGGCAGAACAGUGUGAGCAAGGCUGGAGUGGACGAGGAGUGGGCUCCCUCCAGGUCUGCAGUUUGGAAGGACAGGUGCCACCCUCGCCCAGCUCCCUUGGCCACUCCCUCUGGAAGGUUCUGCUGGGGCUGAUGCCCACGGACACCGCUUGCCUCCCGUGGGUCUGUAGACCAGGUCUGACCCUGCCAAGGCUGUCCGUCCCCCUUCCUGCCUCAUGACCGUCCAUUCCGGUCGCCUCAGGCAGCACCAGGCUCCUCCGGGGGGUCUCAGAGAAGCCCAGGGUCGCUGGGGGCCUCCAGGCGGAGAUCAGAUGCCGGAGGCUGUGGUUGGAGGCUCUUGGCCUCACUGUCACUUGGGAAGAGUUUACGAUGUGUCAUCUCUGGCCCAGACACCUUCAUGUUGGGGUCUGCUGCCGGGUGUGUGGUCCUGUGUGGCCCUGUGACUUCGUGGGUCCUCAGCUGCACUUGCCCUGUAAGGCUGCUACAGCUCACCAGCGCCUCCUGAGCUUUGGUGCCUCCCGGAGAGAGGGGUGCCCUGGGAGGGACGGAGCCUGGCAUGCGGCGUGGCACGCAUGGGGCCGCUCACAGGGCUUCUGUUCCUGAAGCCUGAGGUCCCCGGGGCGUGUCCUCCUUCCGGCCUUUCCCGGGAAGGCACGAGCCGGGGACCCAGGCUUGGUGCCAGGACGGGAAGGGUGGAUCCCGGAGGGCUUAGCGGGGGCGACCGUGGGGGCCGGUGGACCCCCAUGCUCCCCAGGCGACUGGACGUAGGGGGCUAAGGGCUCUUCCUGCGCCCUGAAGGACGGAGCUGGGCAAUGUGAACUUCGUUCUGUUUGAUUUUCACGCUAAUGGCGUUGAGGACAGGAGCAGGUAGGGAGAGGGAGGAAAGCAGGCCGGCCGAGCAUUCGAGGGUCUGGAUAUAAUGCUCAACCUAAAUCUGUGUUUGCACACGCCCCCUGCGAGCAGGGCCGUCCUUCUGUCCCUCACACGGUGCUCGCCGUCCCCACUGUCUUCGCUACCUGGGAGAGCCGUCUCUGUGCAGGUGUGCCCAGGCAUGACCCGCGAACUGUUGUUUUCAGCCGCUUAUCUUCAGCGGUGCUGGCCCGGCACCCGUGCUGCUUUCCAGGGUCAGGCCGUAGCUGAGCCCCUUGUGCAGGGACAGCCUGGGCACCCCGGCUGGCUGAACACAGCCGCGAGCCACGGGGUCCACCCCCACGUAAGUGCUGGAGGCUGCCGUGGCUUUGGAGCAGGACCCAGGCUGUGUUUUCAGGUGAAGGGUGUCCGUGACCCUCGGGGGCUGGGGCACGGCAUCGCCUCCUCUGCCCCGAGGCCGGCUGGCCGAUCUGUGGACAACAGGUGAGGACCAGGUGGGCCGAGGCAGGGUCAGGGGGUGCCUGUUCCUCUGAAGAAAACCGUGUAGAACCAGGCUCUUAGGGCCUACACAGGCCAGACCCAGCGCCCAUGCAGAGAGGGCAGUGGCUCUCAUUUUUACCCUACAGGCGCCCUGGGAACGGCGGGGGUGUCCACGGCGCCCUGCGGGAGGCCUCUGAGCACACCAGGGCAUUGCGACUUUGAGGACCGUGUCAGGAGCCAGGGCCCCCAGCCCCUGGUUUGUGCGGCCCCGUGCUUUGUCUGCUGGGCUUUGCUGGCCGGCCACCAGCUAGGUGCCUAUUGGUCAGGAUCUGACAUCCCGGAUGCAAGGCCCAGCCUGGGACGCCCUGCUUCUGUCGCCCUCCUCCCCGGCGCAGAGCCCUCCCCCACCACCGCGCGGACACCGGACUCUCACUCACAGGGCCUGCUGGUCCCGGGCUCCCUCAGGGGCUCGGGGCUCAGCUGGGGAGCCCUGCGGGGACCCGGGAAUGUGCUGGGGAGGGAGCUGUCCUGACAGAGGUGAGGGGGUGUGCCCGGCGGGUCUGAGAGAACAGGACACCCCCACUUUCACAGGCACCUCUUUACAAGGACCGUGCGUGUGCCGGUGGCAUGCGCUGCGUGUUUUAAACCAGGGUUCCUCUGAGCGUUUGCAAGCCUACCAGGCACCCGGACCCUGUGGGGUUUCUGUGCCCUCCCUCAUCUCUGCCUCCUUCUCACCGGGGCGUCCACAUCAAAAUGUCACAUCCCCUGCCUGCUGCCUGCCCCCGCACGUGCCCAACCUGCCCAGAGGGUCCCUGGGCCCCUCCCUGCCCGUGACCCCCACUCACUUCUGGGCGUGGACCCCAGGAGGCGGGUCGGGACCCCCCUCGCCCACCGGCAGCCCAGGAGGCUUUUCAUCCCCCGGCCCGACUGCUCCUGUGGCCCCACCCGGGCUUGGCGAGAUGGCGGAGCCCGUGGGCUGUGCACCGCCUCCUCCGGGCAGGCCCCCUCUUGCCCCUGGCCCAUCCCGGCCCUGACCUCACCCGUCUGCCUGCGUGUCGGGACAGCCCGUCCGAGCUGGCGGGAGGCUCCCGUGGGCCUGCCGAGGCUUCUGUGCUGCUGCGGGGCUGACUUACUCCCCAGCUGACAGCAUUCCAUUUGGCCCUCGUGAUGCGGGCUUGCUUUCCUGGGACCUGAGUGUCCCGUGAGGGCGGUCGCCCACAGUCCCACCGGGUACUGGGGUCGGAUUUCUGUCGCCCAGCAGACAGUUCACUCUGAUUUGGGGAGCACUGGGCCUGUGGCCGGGUACAGAGGGGGCGAGGCCGCAGGAAUCCGAGGCCUCGGGAUGUAGGCUCACACCUGGGCCAUGAGCUCAGGUCUGACUAAUGAGGCUCAGUGACUCACAGCCCCGGGGCCUCCCAGGCGAGGGCUGCUUCCCAGCACCGUGUUGGGAGCCCAGGACACCAGGUCUCUUGGUCGUGUUCACACCGCCUCCCCCGCGUCCCCCACCCCGUCCCUCCUCGAGUGCCUCUGAGGGUACAUUUCACCCCGUUGCACAAGGUCCGGGCAGUGGCCGUUGGGGCUUGGGGAGCAGGUAGGGGUGAAGUCAUGUGCCUUGCAUGGGCCAUGUGAUGGGGCAGCCUCCGCGAAAAGGGCAGGACAGCCUGUGAGGAAGGCAGGCUGACCUUGGUGCCCCGGGCACUGGUCGUGGCCUGCGAGCAUGGCCCGAGACAGGGAUGGAGGUCAGGAGACUCUACAACACAAGGUGGGCCUUGUGGGUCACGUGCUGUAAAUUCUGUAGGCCGGGGAGCAAAAGAAUCCCUUAACGUUUUUUAUUGGGGUAAAAUGUACAUAGCCCAAAACUAACCGUUUUAUUUGUAUCUUUUAAAGUUUAUUUAUUGAGAGAGAGAGAGAGAAUGAGCAAGGGAGGGGCAGAGAGAGAAGGAGAGAGAGAGAGAGAGAGAGGGAGAGAGAGAGAGAGAGAGAGAGAGAGAGAGAGAGAGAAUUCCAAGCAGGCUCCACGCUCCGAGCUGAGCCUGACUUGGGGCUCAAUUUCACAACUGUGAGGUCAUGACCUGAGCCAAAAUCAAGAAGACACCUAACCGACAGAGCACCCAGGUGCCCCAAGACUAACCAUUUUAAAGUGAACGAUUCGGGAACAUUUGCUCCACUCACAAUGUCAUGCAACUGUCACGUGUCUGGUUCUGGAACACUCAUCGGGGAGGCCCUCGUCCAUCGGCAGGGCACCCCCGUGCCCUUGCCCCAGGCCCGGCCACCACAGCCCCUUUCUGUCUGUGGGUUUGCCCGCUGUGGGCAUGUUGUGUGCCUGAACUCCUGCGGUCCUCGUCCUGUGGCGCCCGGCUUCUCUUACCCAGCACGGCGUUUUCCAGGUCCUUCCAGGUCCUUCCAUGUUGUAGUGUGGGCCAGUUCUGCAUCCCUUGUGAUGGCUGCAUAGUAUCGCCCUGUGGAUUCUUUAGCCUCUACAUUUUUCAUGGAAGUGAAACGUCUCUGGACCGAGGAUGCUGGCUUUCCUUAAAAACGGCGAGGGCAGUAUCUGCAAACCCUCCUUCGCGUGUCCUGUGGGAAAGUGUGUGGGCAGCCUCCCCGCCAGCAGCCUCUGCCAGCACCGAAGGCGCGGCCGGGAGGUGAGGACGGUGAGACCUGGUUCUCCCUGGCUGGCCCUCGCAGAGCUCAGCAGGGAGGGCGGGGGGGAGGGGACGCGCUGCUGGCUGGGAGGGGAGACGUGUGCGCCAGAGGCGGGACACAGCCACUGCCCGAAGACCCCGCACGCUGGGCAGGGCGUUCACGUGGGGCUGUUCCUUCAUCCGUGUGCAGAGGGCUCCGCCGGUUAGGGCUGCGUCCCAGGAAGGCCGGUUCCGGGGUCCCCUCUCUCCCGGUCUCCCCUCUCCGUGGUCCCGCAGCGGGGCUGGAGUCAGCAUACGGUUUCAAAUUCUGAGCGGUGCCCAGGCCGGGAGCAGAGGACCCACAGACGUGGAAAAGCCCCUGUGCCUGAGAGCAGGUGGGGGCAGGAGGGGGCAGCCGGGGCCGCGGGCCCUUGCGCAUAGUUGCCGUCGAUGGCUGUCUGGCUGGCGGUUCCUGCGAAUGGCCAGAGGCUGCGGGGUGCCUUUCUUCCUACUACUCCGUCCCCCACCAUCGGGGUCUCUCUGCCUGGUCUCCGCAUCCCCUGUGUGAGUCUCAGCCGUGUCCCUCCCCACCUCCCGGGCCCGUCUACUCCUGGGCCUGGCUCUCUGGUCCUGCGAAGGGCUCCCGCCUGCCCUGCUCGAGCUCCCAUGCUGCGUCAGGGGGCCCAGAAGCAGCAUCAUG
Acinonyx jubatus (cheetah) is the source of this 4748-nucleotide long non-coding RNA. RefSeq lists it as uncharacterized. The record is from RefSeq and is a predicted model, not a curated record. The transcript is spliced from 3 exons. Lineage: Eukaryota; Metazoa; Chordata; Mammalia; Carnivora; Felidae.